This 497-nucleotide ribosomal RNA is filed under the name uncultured bacterium. Its description in RNAcentral is "partial 16S ribosomal RNA". It matches the Rfam family "Bacterial small subunit ribosomal RNA", at positions 28 to 507 of the family's 1533-position model. The record is from RNAcentral.
GAUGAACGCUGGCGGCGUGCCUAAUACAUGCAAGUCGAGCGAGCGGACGAGAAGCUUGCUUUUCUGAUGUUAGCGGCGGACGGGUGAGUAACACGUGGAUAACCUACCUAUAAGACUGGGAUAACUUCGGGAAACCGGAGCUAAUACCGGAUAAUAUUUUGAACCGCAUGGUUCAAAAGUGAAGGACGGUCUUGCUGUCACUUAUAGAUGGAUCCGCGCUGCAUUAGCUAGUUGGUAAGGUAACGGCUUACCAAGGCAACGAUGCAUAGCCGACCUGAGAGGGUGAUCGGCCACACUGGAACUGAGACACGGUCCAGACUCCUACGGGAGGCAGCAGUAGGGAAUCUUCCGCAAUGGGCGAAAGCCUGACGGAGCAACGCCGCGUGAGUGAUGAAGGUCUUCGGAUCGUAAAACUCUGUUAUUAGGGAAGAACAUAUGUGUAAGUAACUGUGCACAUCUUGACGGUACCUAAUCAGAAAGCCACGGCUAACUACGUG